GAACGGUAGCACAGAGAGCUUGCUCUUGGGUGACGAGUGGCGGACGGGUGAGUAAUGUCUGGGAAACUGCCCGAUGGAGGGGGAUAACUACUGGAAACGGUAGCUAAUACCGCAUAACGUCUUCGGACCAAAGUGGGGGACCUUCGGGCCUCACACCAUCGGAUGUGCCCAGAUGGGAUUAGCUAGUAGGUGGGGUAAUGGCUCACCUAGGCGACGAUCCCUAGCUGGUCUGAGAGGAUGACCAGCCACACUGGAACUGAGACACGGUCCAGACUCCUACGGGAGGCAGCAGUGGGGAAUAUUGCACAAUGGGCGCAAGCCUGAUGCAGCCAUGCCGCGUGUAUGAAGAAGGCCUUCGGGUUGUAAAGUACUUUCAGUGGGGAGGAAGGCGUUAAGGUUAAUAACCUUGGCGAUUGACGUUACCCGCAGAAGAAGCACCGGCUAACUCCGUG
This 452-nucleotide ribosomal RNA is filed under the name uncultured bacterium. RNAcentral's name for it is "bacterial SSU rRNA". It matches the Rfam family "Bacterial small subunit ribosomal RNA", at positions 64 to 507 of the family's 1533-position model. The record is from RNAcentral.